CUCCUCUUGGAGUCUUCUCAGUGAGCCUAGGACAAGGGAAAGAUUCCUUCCACUUUUGAACUGGACAACAGAGUCAGGUCAGCCUCUCAUAGUAUUCCUUGCACGUGCUUAUGAAACCAGGGAUCCAUAUGAUGCAAAACCAGUGCUCAGAGAACUUGAGGAGGAACACCUUUUUGAUGUAAUGGCAUUACAAAUUGCCAUUUUUUUCUUGCUACAAUAAAGGCUCCCUUCAAGUACUGGAAUGCCACAGUGAGGUCUCCCUGGAGCCUUCACUUCUCCAAGCUAAACAAGCCCAGUUCUGUCAACCUUUCUUCAUAGAGGAGUGCUUCAGCCCUCUGGUCAUCUUAGUGGUCCUCUGAAUCCAUUCUAAGAGCUCCAUGGUCUUCUUGUACUGGGGGCCCCAGGCCUGGACACAGAAUGUCUCCAGGGAUGGGGGAUUCACUACCUCUCUAUGCAACCUCUGACAGUGCUUCACUACUCAUUGAAAUAAACA
Molecule: long non-coding RNA, 493 nt
Organism: Lagopus muta (rock ptarmigan)
Lineage: Eukaryota; Metazoa; Chordata; Aves; Galliformes; Phasianidae
Exons: 4
Source: RefSeq, a predicted model, not a curated record